RNAcentral lists this ribosomal RNA (469 nucleotides) under uncultured bacterium. RNAcentral describes it as "bacterial SSU rRNA". It matches the Rfam family "Bacterial small subunit ribosomal RNA", at positions 28 to 511 of the family's 1533-position model. The record is from RNAcentral.
GAUGAACGCUGGCGGCGUGCUUAACACAUGCAAGUCGAACGGUGAAGGCGGAGCUUGCUCUGCUGGAUCAGUGGCGAACGGGUGAGUAACACGUGAGCAAUCUGCCCCUGACUCUGGGAUAAGCGCUGGAAACGGCGUCUAAUACUGGAUACGAGCUGCGAGGGCAUCUUCAGCAGCUGGAAAGAACUUCGGUCAGGGAUGAGCUCGCGGCCUAUCAGCUUGUUGGUGAGGUAAUGGCUCACCAAGGCGUCGACGGGUAGCCGGCCUGAGAGGGUGACCGGCCACACUGGGACUGAGACACGGCCCAGACUCCUACGGGAGGCAGCAGUGGGGAAUAUUGCACAAUGGGCGCAAGCCUGAUGCAGCAACGCCGCGUGAGGGACGACGGCCUCGGUGUAACGUCUUUAGUCAGGAGAAGACGAAGUAGACGGUACCUGCAGAAAAGACGACCGGCGUACUAACGUGCCAG